UUUGGUGGUAAAUAGCAGGUAUUUAUUUGAAAUGAAAAAAAUACUUCAGUACCUGAACUAUUGCAUUUAAUCAUGUAUUGUUGUAAUUGUGUUACUCUACCUUUUUGCAUUGGAGACAAAUAUACAAUGAACAUUCAGAUAUCACAGAUUGCACACUAGAUAGUAAAUCGUCAGGCCUUUUACGUAACCACCAAAAAACAAAUAUUGGAUUCUGCAAUAUAGUACAAAAUUCCACACUCCAGUCUUAGCCAGUUAUCUUCAAUUUACUCCUGAUGCUGUACAAAUAAAUGGCCAUUCAACUAGGGCUUACAAGUUAAUAACAGGACAAAAAAAAUAUACAUUGCACUGACACAAAAAGUCAGCUGUGUUAAUAGUCAUGCAACAAGUAACCAAACUUGCUGAAAUUAAAAAUACUUUCUAAAAACAGUUUUAACUGCAUAAGUAUUUUAUACACAGUUCAUUUACUGAAACAAAAGGAGUCUUUAAAUGAUACAAAGCAAAUAUAAGUUUCUACCAAUUUUAUACAUAAGAAAGUGCAAAAUAACUUAUCUAAAGUGUUUUGCUAUUGAUGAACGUGGGCUGGAGGCAGCCAACCCCCUCUCAUAAGCAUGACAUUACAGUUGCACACUACAUACGAAUGUUAAGAGUACAUGAAUAAGUAUACUACAAAGAACAAGGCAGGAGAAGACAUGUGAGGUACUUGCAGAGAAUACAGUCUACUAAUGUUAGUGUACAUGAGUAUAUUUUCGCUCAACAGAUUUUUACAUGGAAAACAAAGCAAGUAUUUGCAUUAGAAGCUUGAAAGAAAUGGAAAAAACCCCACUCCCAAGUGAACAAAACAGUUGCCCACAGCACCAGCUGCCAGAGGAAAUAAGAGCAGGUGUGUUUUUUCCCCUCCACCUCCUACAAGCAAGAACAUGGGUUUUGGGACAGGGCCCCCGAAGAAUUAAGUCAAGAGGGCUGUGGUGAUUUAUUUCCAAUGUGUAAACUGGGACUCACCUCCUCACUACUGAACUUGUAAGGAAUAGUGACCUUGAUUUUUUUAGUAUGCUGCCAAACAUCAAAACCAUUGAACAACACCCCUACAACGUGCUUAUGUAGCUGAACACAGCCAACUACCUCUUCACUGAUGGCCCACUAUCUUCAUGACCCCCAUUAGUGCUAUAUGCCAACUGUUUGCUUUAGUGUUUAAAUUCUAUCAGUGUUAUUGUCAUAAAUCUAGUUUUUAUCAGGAUUUGAUUAUGCGGCUGUACAAGUUCUAGUCUGUAGAAAAGAAGACUUCCCUAAAUUUCGUUUUGAAAUCUGGAGGCAAGGGGAAGAAAACUCUGUGGACUCAAAGGCAUUUCAGAGUUGUUAAAAUAGCCUUUUCUUCAAACCGAAAACGUUAAGGCCACUAGCCUGUCUUCUGAACUAUGCUGGUUUCGCAUCAUUUUGGGAAGGGUGAAGGCAACGUUAGAGAGAACAGCUGAACACAGGAAUUCCAGUGCUCCGCACAUGCUUACUGAGGACCUCCUUCCUGUUUCUAGGGACAAGUCUGUCAGGGUAGCCAUGCAGCAUAGCUACUUGAUCAUCACUCUUUGGAUCUAUUUGGGUCAGCUAAUCUCAACAAACCUGCAUUUACUCAACAGUGUGCAAGGGCUCUAAAGAAGCCUUUCUGUUCAUUUGGGGACCUAGUAUACAUACCAAAACAGGAAUAUAUCUCAUUUUACAGACCAGCACAUACAUAAUAAACAAACAUGUAUCAAAAUACAUAUUUAACCUUCAGUGCAUAAACAUGUGAUACCAGGGUAAAUAGUAAGUGGUCAGGAUUAACAAAUUAUUCACCGCUAAAGACUCAAAUCAAGAGAAGACAGAUGUGUCCCUGCAGUGCCAAGGACCUUCUGAAGGGGCUCACACCACCACAGAGGGUCUGGCACUUUUGAUGGUGCAAUUCUGACAACAGUGCCGGUUUUAACCAUUUGCUGUCCCAGGGCCAGAGUCUGCCCAAAUCAUCCCGAGUGAAGGAUAAUCUCGUCUUGAGUGAAGACACUCACUUAAGUACCAGCAGAGCAAAAGCAGGGCCACCUAUCUUCUAUUGGUUUGGGUCAUAUCCUUACCGCUAUUUAAAAGAAUCAUUGUGAAUAUACCUAGAUCUAGAUCAGUUUGUCACCCAUUUACAAAAUAUAUAUACAUACAUUAAAAAAACAAAACCAAACCAAACACCAGCCUGUCCCC
Long non-coding RNA from Strigops habroptila (Kakapo), 2214 nucleotides. NCBI's taxonomy places the organism in Eukaryota, Metazoa, Chordata, Aves, Psittaciformes, Psittacidae. The record is from Ensembl.